AGCGGGGGCACCGUGAGACACCGGGGGGCACCCGGGGCUCCCGCACGGCCCCGGCCCCCCGGGAUGCCCCUCCCGGGCUGGGGGAGGAAGGGGCGCAGCUCACCGCACCGGGGAGCGCUGCUGCUUUUUGGGGGGAGCCACUAAAGAUCAUAGAAUCUGCUCGGCUGGAGAAGCCCUCGGAGAACAUCGAGCCCGGCCACCCCCGGCGCCGCCAGAGCCACCCCACGUCCCCAGAGCGGAACUUUGGGAAAUGUUUGGAAUUCUGUCCUGUUGCUUAAGAAGCUGAGCUCACCCUGUCCACGAGACCGACUGCUCUCUCGGGUGGCACCAGCGCUCCUGCCCCCCAAACUGGGAUCUGCCAGGGAGCUUCCAUGUGAUGGGAUUUAACGUCUUUAAAACUGAGUCAGGACAACUGAAAGCCUGCAACGGGGAACUCCAGUGGCAGAGAGCAUCCUGGCAUGGGCUGUGACAUGCCAGAGAGCCCGAGCAGCUGGAAUCUGCUGCUCCCCUGCGGCAGGGCACGGCGGGACGCGAGCCGGGUGCUCAAACCCCCCUGCGGUGGAACCCGCGGUUCGCGGGCAGGAGGUGACAAAACCCUCCCUGGGAGGAUUCCCACAAUCCAGGAGGGAAAUCCCAGCCUCCCCAGCCUCCCCAGCCUCCCCAGCCUCCCCAGCCUCCC
Molecule: long non-coding RNA, 679 nt
Organism: Prinia subflava (tawny-flanked prinia)
Lineage: Eukaryota; Metazoa; Chordata; Aves; Passeriformes; Cisticolidae
Exons: 6
Source: RefSeq, a predicted model, not a curated record